AUAUAAGAACUGUUGGUUUAUUUAUCGGUGGAGCAGCACAACAUUUUCCACAGACAGUUUUCCUGCCCGUUGGCUUGUUUUAACCAGUUUUCUACCAGCAGGCACUGAAAGGACUCUAAUAGUUCGAGUGAAAGCAGCAGUUCCUCCUUAAGGUCAGAGAUUGCAGCAUCUGAGGGCCUCUUCAAAAGAAGACGUAGUUGAUGAAGGCGUUCUGGAGCAGGACCAGAAAGACCACGACCAAGCAGCCUUGAGAUCUUUGGCAGCGUCUCCCUCAGGUCCCUCUCUAUCUCCCCACACAUCCACCAACCACUGGAACACAUCUCCAAAGUUCUGCCGGUCCAGCUCAGCUUCCCCUCAGAAGAAGUGCCGCCACCUGCCAGAUGAAGGAGCCUUUUGAGAUGCAGCUGGCAUCGUGAUUGGACUGUACUUUGGUCUGUUCCAGUCCAGCUUCAGCUCCAGAGACGGCAGGCGGGACGAGUCAACGGAGGCCGGGUGGACGAAGGCAUGCAGCUGAGUACAAUCCAGAAAACAACAGAGGAGGAGUGCAGUGGCCCAGGGCCAGAAAAAACAGAGUAGCAUCGUAUGUCUCUUAGAAAACAUCAUAGUAUAGCCUUUGGUAUGAAAAAACACCAUCAUAUACAUCGUAUAUUGUACAAAUAAGUCAAAGGAAAGAGACAUACAUUGUAGAAUUGUAGUGAUUGUGGGCUGACUGAUUUACUGAUUAUCAGUAUUUUAUUUUUUACUGAUUUACGGUAAUAAAUACAUUUAAAAAUGGUGCUACUUUGGCUCUGAACCUUUAUCUACCUGUGGUCGCUCUGUGUUCUGGAGUGAUUUGAUUGGUUAUACGUAACGAAUAAAACUCCUUUAACGUAACAUCUGAAAACAAACAAAAACGUAUCAACAAAGUUUUCUGUUAGAGUUUGUGUUCUUCUAAGUUUAACUCAAGAUUUUAAAUACUUUCAUUUACUGCAAAUGAAUAUCUACUCCAAAUGUCUCACUAAUAAUCAUUAUCAGCCUUAAAAACCCACAAAACACCCCUCUAUACUCCACCACACUUAGUACAGUCCGGUUCCCCCUUCUAUAAAUCUGCUUGGAAUCUUCCACUUCCUGUUUGUCAAAGUGGCCUUCUACCUGGACAGGUUUUGUUGGAGCUCAUGCAACAAACAUUUUGGGUAACUGCACUUUAAUAUGGAUGGAUGACACUGAAUUAGAGUCUGUUUUAAUGAGACUGAGUUAAGAUGUGUAGCUCUGUCAUUAAAUAGUAAAUUAUUUCUCAGAAUUCACAGAGAAAAGUCUGAAAUGUUUUCUAGGUUAGCAUCCCACAUGUUCUUUGGCUCAGCUAAAGCUAACUCUCUCCAACUUCUGGAUCUCUUGAGUUGCUUGUUAAAUUAUCUUGCUUGAGGUGCUGAAGCUCAGAAAGUCUGUUGAUGUUUGUUCAAAAUAAGCUCGUUCUCAAGUCUUAUCUGAACUGUCCUCUUUUGUUCGAACUUUCCCUAAACUUAAGAGUUAAUGACAGAGCAGCACAUCCAGACUCAGUCUCAUUUAUAUAGAGAUUAAACUUCAGUGUCAUUCGUUGAUGUUAAAGUGCAGUUUUUCAAAUGUUUGUUGCACAUGCUCCCAACCAAACCAGUCC
Molecule: long non-coding RNA, 1633 nt
Organism: Amphiprion ocellaris (clown anemonefish)
Lineage: Eukaryota; Metazoa; Chordata; Actinopteri; Pomacentridae
Exons: 3
Source: RefSeq, a predicted model, not a curated record